This 1116-nucleotide long non-coding RNA is filed under the name Anser brachyrhynchus (Pink-footed goose). RNAcentral describes it as "lncRNA (ENSABRG00000012267.1)". Lineage: Eukaryota; Metazoa; Chordata; Aves; Anseriformes; Anatidae. The record is from RNAcentral.
GAAUCUUCUUGCUGAUCUACCUGCUGCCACACAUUUCUUUUUCAGUCACUGCAAAUAUCUUGGAUUUCCCCUUUUCUUACUACACAAUGACAGAUUGCCCUGAACACGGACAAGAGAGCCAGUUAAACGGUUCACUUCUUGAUGCUGGGAGCAUAGGAAGCUAAUGAACAUCCUGUUCUUCAUAUGUUAAAUACCUGUGAAACAAUGGAAAUAUAGGUUGUUUUUCGCCUCAGCUGUAGAGCUGCUAAUAUCUGACUACUAUGCAUGGAGUGGGGAGACUCAUUCCUUAUAAUCCAACAAAUCCACAUCCCAUUUUAAAUUUAGCAGCAAGUGUAUCUGAAAGGAGCAAUGUUCCCUCUGCUUUUACCAAGGAAGAAGAGUAACUGCAGGUAGUGGCAGUGCUGUGAAAUCUGAGAUUUGUCCUAAGGUCAGGAGUGUGGAAGGAGCAGGGGUUCUGAUCACAACUGAUCUGCAUCUUCUGAGACAUUAUUAUCAUCCUGAACUAAACAAAAGAGUAAGUGCUCUUAAGAAAACUGAAGUUGACAGAGAAAAGGGGCUGAGCCAUGAUGAUUAUAUCCAGAUGGAGAUGCCCCUUACUCACUGGAUUCAUGGAAUACCACUCGCAGGAGAUGCAGCUGGUUCUGCUCCACCCUAAACACACACAGCCAGGAGGAGUAAGGGCUAAACAUUCCUCUCCCAAAAACAAAGCCCCAACUCAGCUGAAGGCAGAGUCCCUGCCUCAGGGAUGUCAUCACAAUCUGGUCCGUGCUUUGUACGGUGGCAAACCCGGCAUGGGGAUGGCGGCAGCAGGCAUUUUCCCUGAGCUCCUCUGUGUCUGUUCCCACAGGAGCCUGGCAUGGGGACCACACACAGGCGCCGAGGUCAGGAGGAACGGGUCCAGAAGCAGGGGUAUGUCUGGGGGCUGAGAGGCUGCGGCAGGUGAGGUUUGACUCCGAAGGGCACUUUGGGAACGCACCUCCGCUGGCAGGGUGACGGCACUGGGUUAGAAUAGGCAUUUGUAAGCUGAGAAAAUCGAGACAAGAUGCGGAACGAAAUGCCAGUCAUUUCUGUAUCUGUGAAUUCUUAAUGUGCGGAAUAAAACGUUAGCAUGUAACA